UAUAAUUUCACAUAUUAUUCUGCAAUAGAUUCAGGAACUCGAGUAAUCUGUACUCGACAUUUUUUUUGAACUUGAUAUCAUAACAAUCACAGGUUCCAUAAACAAGUUCGUAUUAGACCUUAAGUCGAAUAAACCAGCUUUAGUAUCAUUGCAGAUGAUAACAUUGAUAUGUUCCUAUCCGACUCAAUCAACAAGUUCAUUUAUUUAUUUUCACUCGCUCAUGUUGCUGAUCCAGUGGUGUCACUACUUUUGCGGCGCCUCUCCAAUUAGCUGCAUAGGAAUAGUAAUAUUUUGAUCUGCCAUUUGAUAUUUUUGUUUUUGUUUAUGUUCUUUGCGUUUUCGUAGAAGGUACCGUCUAUUUCUAAAUCAAAUAGUUUAAGAUCGUCAUCUUGGGUACGGAGCAUACAACGAACAUAUCUGUAAAUAGAAGAAAAUAAACAAAUCAAAUAAUAGUUAAAAUAAAAUAAGUUAAAACUAUAAGUAAAUAGUCCCCAGCAACAGUGCCAAAAGCUUGUUGCAUUUUUCAUAUGACAAGUAUAUGAUAUCAUAACACGUAAUAUAGUGGACAUUUGAAUCCAUAUUAUUGUUUUCACGCGGACUAUACUUUAAUAUUUAAUCUAUAUUUUGAACUAUUAUCUGAGGCAAACAAAUAAAGAGUAGUGAUUUUUAAUCACACUAAUUGAAAAUAAGUGGAUGCAUACAAAGUUUGAUUUAGUGUUUCAAAGACGGAAUAGAUAUUAGGGCAAAACAAUUUCAUCUAUUGAUAACAUUUAAAUCUUAAUUCAAGAUUCAUAAUCUAAUAUAGUGUUCGAUCAAAUUUUUCUAUUGUAUUCAAUUUACCCAUUUUGAGUUUU
RNAcentral lists this long non-coding RNA (854 nucleotides) under Olea europaea subsp. europaea. The record is from RNAcentral. Lineage: Eukaryota; Viridiplantae; Streptophyta; Magnoliopsida; Lamiales; Oleaceae.